CUGCACUGCCAAGUGGCUAGUUGGUCUUCUCCUUGACCUACUAAGUCUCAUUGCAGUGCAAGAUGAACUCCCUUCUAGCAGAAGGGCCAGGCCAUUUCAGUGGUCUGUCUCUUUCGAUGGUUGGGUACAAAC
Molecule: small nucleolar RNA, 132 nt
Organism: Chelydra serpentina (North American snapping turtle)
Lineage: Eukaryota; Metazoa; Chordata; Testudines; Chelydridae
Source: Ensembl